AGGCUCUCAGGUAGAAACGCCCUUCUUCUCCGUCCUAUCCUGCUACUUACAUUCAAGUUUGGUAUCCAGGCUCUGAAGAAGAAAUGGUAAGGAAAGGAAGCGCACAUUGUUAGUGCCUAUUGUUUCUUCACCAUACACACAUAUCAGCUUACUACUGGAGUCAUGUCAAAUGCGCUAUAGUUGUUGUUGCCAUCCCUUCUUACUCAUGCAUUUUGUGUUGGACAUGUACCAGUAACUCACUCUCCUGUUAGCCAUACAACAUUGGGUGUUGCAUCUUCUGUUUGUGGUUUUAGCACUCUGUUUUUCAUCUAGCUGAUGAAUUGUGCAGGUUUUAAGCACUUGCUAUUGCUACCAUUAUGCUUCAUUGUUUUAUCUACUACAGUAGACUAGACUAGACUUCUGUGCAAGCGCUUCUUCAAUUGUUUCUUUAUGUAAUAUAUGCUCGAGUGUAAGGUGCAUGCCAUUAAAGAUGGUUCACUGUUGUUGCAGGGCACUCCUUACUUUUGAUUUCAGUUGCUAAGCAGCUUUUUAGUCAUAUAUUGGAGGUCAUAAAGGAUGCUCCCAGCUUUCAGCUAGAGUACCGCUAUGUGAUAUGAGGUUAUGUUAGAUCACCUUUUGAUGUUUUUAGUGUCCAAGCUUCCAUUCAUUUGGAAACUUACAUAGAACAACCAAGGAUUUUUAUUAUGCAGCUGCAGGGCUACCGACUAAAAAUUGAAUCCAGAUUUUCAUUUAUUCCUGUUUGCACGUGUUGACUUUAGGAUAUCUCAUGAACGAGUGAUAGUAGGUAAAAUUAACUUACUUUACUCUCUGCAUUGGUGUGUUCCAGAUACCAGCACUGUCUAAAGAUGUUGCUGCUAAUAUCUUUGAAUGCAACACAUUUUGUCCUGUACUCAGUGUAACCAUCCAUCCUAAUUGAUAUGUUAAGGC
This 927-nucleotide long non-coding RNA is filed under the name Hordeum vulgare. RNAcentral describes it as "long non-coding RNA (HVUL_LNC020482)". The record is from RNAcentral. Lineage: Eukaryota; Viridiplantae; Streptophyta; Magnoliopsida; Poales; Poaceae.